CAAUAGCGUAUAUUAAAGUUGUUGCAGUUAAAAAGCUCGUAGUUGGAUUUCGGGGCAGCCUGGCUGGUCCGCCGCAAGGCGAGUACUGGUCAGCCGCCCUUCCUCUCGAAAGCCCCGACGGCUCUUCGUUGCAGUGGUCGGGUAGUUCGGGACGUUUACUUUGAAAAAAUUAGAGUGUUCAAGGCAGGCCUACGCCUGAAUACAUUAGCAUGGAAUAAUGGAAGAGGACCUCGGUCCUAUUUUGUUGGUUUCCAGGGCCGAAGUAAUGAUUAAGAGGGACAGUUGGGGGCAUUCGUAUUUAAUUGUCAGAGGUGAAAUUCUCGGAUUUAUGAAAGACGAACAACUGCGAAAGCAUUUGCCAAGGAUGUUUUCAUUAA
RNAcentral lists this ribosomal RNA (377 nucleotides) under uncultured eukaryote. Its description in RNAcentral is "partial 18S ribosomal RNA". It matches the Rfam family "Eukaryotic small subunit ribosomal RNA", at positions 592 to 976 of the family's 1831-position model. The record is from RNAcentral.